Molecule: ribosomal RNA, 430 nt
Filed under: Pseudomonadota bacterium
Lineage: Bacteria; Pseudomonadati; Pseudomonadota
Description: Proteobacteria bacterium partial 16S ribosomal RNA
Rfam family: Bacterial small subunit ribosomal RNA
Source: RNAcentral
UGGGGAAUAUUGGACAAUGGGGGGAACCCUGAUCCAGCCAUGCCGCGUGUGUGAAGAAGGCCUUAUGGUUGUAAAGCACUUUAAGCGAGGAGGAGGGUACUGGUAAUAAUACUACCAGCUACUGGACGUUACUCGCAGAAUAAGCACCGGCUAACUCUGUGCCAGCAGCCGCGGUAAUACAGAGGGUGCGAGCGUUAAUCGGAUUUACUGGGCGUAAAGCGUGCGUAGGCGGCUAAUUGAGUCGGAUGUGAAAUCCCCGAGCUUAACUUGGGAAUUGCAUUCGAUACUGGUUAGCUAGAGUGUGGGAGAGGAUGGUAGAAUUCCAGGUGUAGCGGUGAAAUGCGUAGAGAUCUGGAGGAAUACCGAUGGCGAAGGCAGCCAUCUGGCCUAACACUGACGCUGAGGUACGAAAGCAUGGGGAGCAAACAGG